AGUGAACGCUGGCGGUAGGCCUAACACAUGCAGGUCGAACGGCAGCACAGUAAGAGCUUGCUCUUACGGGUGGCGAGUGGCGGACGGGUGAGGAAUACAUCGGAAUCUACUUUUUCGUGGGGGAUAACGUAGGGAAACUUACGCUAAUACCGCAUACGACCUACGGGUGAAAGCAGGGGAUCUUCGGACCUUGCGCGAUUGAAUGAGCCGAUGUCGGAUUAGCUAGUUGGCGGGGUAAAGGCCCACCAAGGCGACGAUCCGUAGCUGGUCUGAGAGGAUGAUCAGCCACACUGGAACUGAGACACGGUCCAGACUCCUACGGGAGGCAGCAGUGGGGAAUAUUGGACAAAGGGCGCAAGCCUGAUCCAGCCAUACCGCGUGGGUGAAGAAGGCCUUCGGGUUGUAAAGCCCUUUUGUUGGGAAAGAAAAGCAGCAGGUUAAUACCCCGCUGUUCUGACGGUACCCAAAGAGUAAGCACCGGCUAACUUCGUG
Molecule: ribosomal RNA, 492 nt
Filed under: uncultured bacterium
Lineage: Bacteria
Description: partial 16S ribosomal RNA
Rfam family: Bacterial small subunit ribosomal RNA
Source: RNAcentral